RNAcentral lists this ribosomal RNA (464 nucleotides) under Vreelandella stevensii. RNAcentral describes it as "partial 16S ribosomal RNA". It matches the Rfam family "Bacterial small subunit ribosomal RNA", at positions 338 to 795 of the family's 1533-position model. The record is from RNAcentral. Lineage: Bacteria; Pseudomonadati; Pseudomonadota; Gammaproteobacteria; Oceanospirillales; Halomonadaceae.
CCUACGGGAGGCUGCAGUGGGGAAUAUUGGACAAUGGGGGCAACCCUGAUCCAGCCAUGCCGCGUGUGUGAAGAAGGCCCUCGGGUUGUAAAGCACUUUCAGUGAGGAAGAACGCCUGGUGGUUAAUACCCAUCAGGAAAGACAUCACUCACAGAAGAAGCACCGGCUAACUCCGUGCCAGCAGCCGCGGUAAUACGGAGGGUGCGAGCGUUAAUCGGAAUUACUGGGCGUAAAGCGCGCGUAGGUGGCUUGAUAAGCCGGUUGUGAAAGCCCCGGGCUCAACCUGGGAACGGCAUCCGGAACUGUCAAGCUAGAGUGCAGGAGAGGAAGGUAGAAUUCCCGGUGUAGCGGUGAAAUGCGUAGAGAUCGGGAGGAAUACCAGUGGCGAAGGCGGCCUUCUGGACUGACACUGACACUGAGGUGCGAAAGCGUGGGUAGCAAACAGGAUUAAUACCCUUGUAGUC